UGAGAAACAUCAUUUGAGUGCAGCGUUGAUGAAUUUCCUACAAUUUUCUAAGAUUUUAAUUUUGUUGAAGGAUUUUACCAGCGCCGCACUUAAUCAUGUUUUUCAC
RNAcentral lists this microRNA precursor (106 nucleotides) under Manihot esculenta (cassava). Its description in RNAcentral is "precursor microRNA miR397b". It matches the Rfam family "MIR397 microRNA precursor family". The record is from RNAcentral. Lineage: Eukaryota; Viridiplantae; Streptophyta; Magnoliopsida; Malpighiales; Euphorbiaceae.